UUUAAUGUUGAUUCAUAGCGCAUACAACUAAAAAAAAUAUAUACAUAUUUUUAUUUUACUUUUUUCUAUGCAUAUGUAAUGUACGAUAAUAAAUAUUUUAGCUUUUUGAUGAAUGCAUAUAAAUAAAUUAUAUAUGGUGGAGAAUUUUUCUCUUAAAAUAUAUAAACUAUUAAUGAAAAUUUUAUUAACUUUUAUUCGUAUGAGUAAUAUAACAAUAUUUUACCAAAAUUAGUAUUUUAUAUAAUAAAAAUAUAUAAUUAUAUUAAUAAUAUUAUAUUUUAUUAGUUGUGUUAAU
This 295-nucleotide long non-coding RNA is filed under the name Ananas comosus (pineapple). Its description in RNAcentral is "long non-coding RNA (ACOM_LNC027078)". The record is from RNAcentral. Lineage: Eukaryota; Viridiplantae; Streptophyta; Magnoliopsida; Poales; Bromeliaceae.